Molecule: ribosomal RNA, 382 nt
Filed under: uncultured eukaryote
Lineage: Eukaryota
Description: partial 18S ribosomal RNA
Rfam family: Eukaryotic small subunit ribosomal RNA
Source: RNAcentral
UGUAAGCGUAUACCAAAGUUGUUGCAGUUAAAACGCUCGUAGUCGGAAUUUGGCAGUUCCGGAUGUGUGCACGUCGUGUGCGCACUUCGCGGGGAUUGCUUUUGUGGUCUUGCGUAGGAUGAGGCACUUUUAUUAGUGAACGUCCUCACGCAACCACUUUUUACUGUGAGAAAAUCAGAGUGCUCAAAGCAGGCAUUUGCCGUGAAUGUCUUAGCAUGGAAUAAUAGAAUAGGACUUGGUUCUAUUUUGUUGGUUUGUUGGGACUGAGUAAUGAUUAAGAGGGACAGUUGGGGGCAUUUGUAUUUCGGUGCUAGAGGUGAAAUUCUUAGAUUACCGAAAGACAAACUGCUGCGAAAGCGUCUGCCAAGGAUGUUUUCAUUGA